AUUGAACGCUGGCGGCAGGCCUAACACAUGCAAGUCGGACGGUAGCACAGAGGAGCUUGCUCCUUGGGUGACGAGUGGCGGACGGGUGAGUAAUGUCUGGGGAUCUGCCCGAUAGAGGGGGAUAACCACUGGAAACGGUGGCUAAUACCGCAUAACGUCGCAAGACAAAAGAGGGGGACCUUCGGGCCUCUCACUAUCGGAUGAACCCAGAUGGGAUUAGCUAGUAGGCGGGGUAAUGGCCCACCUAGGCGACGAUCCCUAGCUGGUCUGAGAGGAUGACCAGCCACACUGGAACUGAGACACGGUCCAGACUCCUACGGGAGGCAGCAGUGGGGAAUAUUGCACAAUGGGCGCAAGCCUGAUGCAGCCAUGCCGCGUGUAUGAAGAAGGCCUUCGGGUUGUAAAGUACUUUCGGCGGGGAGGAAGGCGGUGAGGUUAAUAACCUCGCCGAUUGACGUUACCCGCAGAAGAAGCACCGGCUAACUCCGUGCCAGCCGCCGCAGUAA
RNAcentral lists this ribosomal RNA (506 nucleotides) under uncultured bacterium. RNAcentral describes it as "partial 16S ribosomal RNA". It matches the Rfam family "Bacterial small subunit ribosomal RNA", at positions 29 to 523 of the family's 1533-position model. The record is from RNAcentral.